UCCAUCAGCAUAAUGGGGGAAUCAUUGCAGUGUGGCCAGAGAGGAGCAGACGAGAUUAUAGAUGAAAGUAGAGAAAAACGGUGGGCAGGGGCAGGGAGAGGAAAGGCCAGACAAAUGCAAUCAUUUCUCCAAAGGAUUUGAGAAGAGAUCAUUUAUUUGAAAUAUUCCUGCCAUGUUGAUGGAGCAGCUCAAUCUUUUGCCAGUGAAUCUUUAGCGUUUUGUUUUUCAUUUGUAGAUAUGGUUGAACAUAUACUUAGGACACGUAAUAACUAUGGAACUUCAUCACAAACACAGCACUGAGGACAUGUUUUGGAAAAUCCCCACUGAAUGAAUUUUUUUGAAAAAGUAAAUGUAUCCUGGGAACAUGCCGUUCAGGAUUUUGGAAAAGGAACUUCAAACGAAAUUGAAGGAGACAUGCAUACAAGGAGAAUGCCAGGUGAACGUGAAGACCAUCAUUUGCAAGCCAAGAGAGGCCUGGAGCAGAUCCUUCAGAGCCCUCAGAAGGGACCAACCCUGCUGGCACCUUGAUUUUGGACUUCCAGCCUCCAGAACUAAGAACUUGAUGUAUACCUCCUGACCUGUUCAUCUUGUAGCUGCCUCUUGACAGAUAUAAGAGGCCGCCCUGUAGAGGAGGAAGGAGGAAGUUGGCUGUGAUUGACCUUGCUAGGUCAUCUUCCUAAUCUUUGUCCUUUCCUGCACCCCAAAUGGAAGAUAAAAGGCAAUGCAAGAUCAGCAUCCUCAGAGACAUCGUUUUGUUUGGGUUUCAUGGAUUGCAAUUGCCAGAGAUGCUUAGGCUGCCUCUAGAGGGAAGAUGAUUGAUUGUUAACCUAUGUGGUCCAACCAAAUGUCUUAGGGGUUAUUGAUAAUUAAAAUGGACAAUAGCGAUUUUCCAUUUCUUCUGGCCUUGGGUGCUGGCAUGUGGAAGUGGUAUUGAUACUCAUGACCAAAUAGGCACUUAUCGAUUUCAGUUUUCAUAAGUUGCCUACCAAAUGCAAACUAGUAACCCAGACGUGGGAGACCUAAUAUUCCAUUGUUAAUCUUUAGGUCCAUAAUUUUUAUUUCCUCUACUUGCCUCUUCUUCCUUCCUCUGCAUAAUGAGUUGGGCUUAUAUAAUUGCACCCAUUUACUCACUCAUUCGUUCAAUCAAUUAUUUGUUCCUAUUUUAUGCCAAGUAAUGAACAGAAGGUGUUGGGGAUGCAAAACCCAACUAAUUGGAAUUUCUAUGUUACAGGAGCUUAUGCUUUAGUGAAAUUAUAGACAAAUUAUUAUACAGUUUUAAUCCAGAAUAGUAAGUGCUAUGGGAGCAUGCACAGAGGAAACAACCCAAUCUUAAGGAAUCAGGAAGGUUUGCAGAGGACUGACAGGAAAAGUGGGCAGGUGAAGAAGAUGGGCAGUGAGAGGAGGAGUGGAAGCACUUUUGCUAGGGAAAAACAUGAAUAAAAGGGAUAAUUUUCUGCUCUUACCCCUGGGUGAUCUUUGCGUGGUACUGUCCAUCACAGUUGGGAGAGACGGCUCCUCAGAGCUGCUCCACACUGUUCACAGAGGAUGCCAUUCCAAGGAAACUGGGGAAUAGGGAAAGUCUUUAGCUUAUUCCUCUUUGAGGUUUGUUUGAGAUGCAGUUUCUUCAAUAUUUUGAGUCUAUGAAAACA
Long non-coding RNA from Homo sapiens (human), 1649 nucleotides. The record is from Ensembl. Lineage: Eukaryota; Metazoa; Chordata; Mammalia; Primates; Hominidae.